Molecule: ribosomal RNA, 253 nt
Filed under: uncultured bacterium
Lineage: Bacteria
Description: partial 16S ribosomal RNA
Rfam family: Bacterial small subunit ribosomal RNA
Source: RNAcentral
UACAGAGGUGGCAAGCGUUGUUCGGAAUUACUGGGCGUAAAGGGCGCGUAGGCGGCCUCCUAAGUCAGACGUGAAAUCCCCCGGCUUAACCUGGGAACUGCGUCUGAUACUGGGAGGCUAGAGUGCGGCAGAGGAGACUGGAAUUCCUGGUGUAGCAGUGAAAUGCGUAGAUAUCAGGAGGAAUACCGAUGGCGAAGGCAGGUCUCUGGGCUGACACUGACGCUCAUGCACGAAAGCGUGGGGAGCAAACAGG